RNAcentral lists this long non-coding RNA (468 nucleotides) under Homo sapiens (human). RNAcentral's name for it is "non-protein coding lnc-FKBP2-1:12". Lineage: Eukaryota; Metazoa; Chordata; Mammalia; Primates; Hominidae. The record is from RNAcentral.
GGUGGCCUAGCUGUCCGUACUCCCCAAACGCAACCUUCCAGUCCCAAACCCAGGCGUUCUAAGCGCUCAGGACGACGAUUUGCGCUCACGCCAGGACCCUAGUCUUCAUUGGACCCUUCCUCAUUCUGUCCUCAUUGAGGCCAUCUGAGAAUAGGGGCUAUCUGAGAAUGCAGGGGAGUGGACAUCGUGUGCAGACAGGGAGUCUGAUUGUGAGUGCCACGGGGCUGAGGCCUGCGCCGACCUGGUCUGCUGGUGCUACCAGGCUUGAACAGUCUUCAAAUCCACUGCUAUUAGGCAAAUUACCUGGCUCCCGCUGAACUCCAGCACCUAGAACUAUGUCACACUCGUAGUAGGCCGCUGCAUUGGUUGAACAAAUGAUUUUGAAAGAAUGAAUGUCUUCCUCUGUGCCUGCAUUUCCUCAGAAGGCUGUAACAAAGAUUAAAUAGGAAAAUUCGUGGAAAGUUCAAU